GAGGGUAUAGCUUAAGUGGUAGAGCGCAUGCUUGGCAUUCACGAGGUCCUGAGUUCAAUCCCCAGUACCUCCU
RNAcentral lists this transfer RNA (73 nucleotides) under Camelus bactrianus (Bactrian camel). It matches the Rfam family "tRNA". Rfam says of the family: Transfer RNA (tRNA) molecules are approximately 80 nucleotides in length. Their secondary structure includes four short double-helical elements and three loops (D, anti-codon, and T loops). RNAcentral also lists the same sequence under 2 other names. The record is from Rfam by way of RNAcentral. Lineage: Eukaryota; Metazoa; Chordata; Mammalia; Artiodactyla; Camelidae.